AGUCGAACGAGAAAGCCCUUCGGGGUUAGUAAAGUGGCGAACGGGUGAGUAACACGUGGGCAAUCUGCCCUUCGUAGGGGGACAACCGGGGGAAACCCCGGCUAAUACCCCGUAAGCUUGUCGGGUCGCAUGGCCUGACAAGGAGAGGUAGCUUCGGCCAUCCGGCGAAGGAGGAGCCCGCGGUUCAUUAGUUAGUUGGUGAGGUAACGGCUCACCGAGGCUACGAUGUAUAGCUGGUCUGAGAGGAUGAUCAGCCACACUGGGACUGAGACACGGCCCAGACUCCUACGGGAGGCAGCAGUCGGGAAUCUUGCACAAUGGGCGAAAGCCUGAUGCAGCAACGCCGUGUGAGCGACGAAGGCCCUAGGGUCGUAAAGCUCUGUUGUUAGGGACGAAGGGCGAAGGGUUAAUAGCCCUUAGCCUGACGGUACCUUUCGAGGAAGCCCCGGCUAACUACGUGCCAGCAGCCGCGGUAAUACGUAGGGGGCGAGCGUUGUCCGGAAUUAUUGGGCGUAAAGGGCGCGUAGGCGGCCCGGUAAGUCUGCUGUGAAACCUUGGGGCUCAACCCCAAGCGUGCAGUGGAUACUGUCGGGCUAGAGGAUGGUAGAGGCCAGUGGAAUUCCCGGUGUAGCGGUGAAAUGCGCAGAUAUCGGGAGGAACACCAGUAGCGAAGGCGGCUGGCUGGGCCAUUCCUGACGCUGAGGCGCGAAAGCUAGGGGAGCGAACAGGAUUAGAUACC
This 739-nucleotide ribosomal RNA is filed under the name uncultured bacterium. Its description in RNAcentral is "bacterial SSU rRNA". It matches the Rfam family "Bacterial small subunit ribosomal RNA", at positions 60 to 786 of the family's 1533-position model. The record is from RNAcentral.